CCAGACGGUCGGACGACCGCCGAAGCGUGUGCGAUAUUCUUGCCACAGGCUUUGGAGGAAAGUCCGGGCUCAACGGGAACACGGUGCCGGCUAACGGCCGGCGGGGGCGACCCUAGGGAAAGUGCCACAGAAACCAUACCGCCCGCACUUGGCCUUCGGCCCUGCGGGUAAGGGUGAAAAGGUGCGGUAAGAGCGCACCGCUCCAGCGGCAACGCUGGUGGCGGGUAAACCCCACCGUGAGCAAGACCGAAUAGGGGCAGCAGGUUGCGGCGGAAAGAGCCGAAACCGAGGGUGUUCCCGCCCUGCCGCCCGGGUUGGUCGCGCGAGGCGCGCCGCAAGGCGCGUCCCAGAGGAAUGGUCGUCCCGCAUCCUUGAUCGGAUGCGGACAGAACCCGGCUUAUAGACCGUCUGGCAUU
This 416-nucleotide RNase P RNA is filed under the name Acetobacteraceae bacterium. RNAcentral's name for it is "RNase P RNA component class A". It matches the Rfam family "Bacterial RNase P class A". Rfam says of the family: Ribonuclease P (RNase P) is a ubiquitous endoribonuclease, found in archaea, bacteria and eukarya as well as chloroplasts and mitochondria. Its best characterised activity is the generation of mature 5'-ends of tRNAs by cleaving the 5'-leader elements of precursor-tRNAs. Cellular RNase Ps are ribonucleoproteins. The record is from RNAcentral. RNAcentral also lists the same sequence under 3 other names. Lineage: Bacteria; Pseudomonadati; Pseudomonadota; Alphaproteobacteria; Acetobacterales; Acetobacteraceae.